CUCUUCCUUGUCUUCCUGAUUCUAAUCGUCACAUGUGCCGAGAUCUCGAUUGUGCUCUGCUACUUCCAGCUAUGCAGUGAGGAUUACCUGUGGUGGUGGAGAUCAUACUUGACAUCAGGAUCUUCUGCCCUGUACCUCUUCCUGUAUGCGACUUUCUACUUCUACACAAAGCUGGAGAUCACAAAGUUUGUGUCAGCCAUCCUUUACUUCGGCUACAUGCUCAUCGCCUCAUAUGCGUUCUUUGCCUUGACGGGUACAAUUGGAUUCUAUGCCUGUUUAAUGUUCACUAGGCUGAUUUACUCGUCUGUGAAGAUUGAGUAAUAGUGUUCUUCUCCCUAAUUUUCUGUUGACAUGGUGAAGGUCGAUGAUGUGGCCAGUGAAUGCCACCCUCUAAAUUUAGCUAUCUAUGGCAUCAAUUCUGAGUUCUGAAAGCUGGCUGUUAAAGAUGAAGUGGUGAUGUGUUAUCCAUGGUUAAACUAUCAUAGCUAGCUCCGUGAGUUUUAUUCUCUUGUUCCUUUUUUGGCUUUAGCAUCUGGAUCACGAGGAUGCCUGUGAAGUACCUGUUGUGAAUUGUAUGUGGAUGCUGAUAAAGUACCUAUUCUGAAUUGUAUAUGGAUGCUGAUAAAUCUCAAUUACUUCAUGCCAGAAUGUAAUGUAAUUGUUGACGUACAUUGAGCCUUUUUAUUGGAUAUAUACCACUGCAGUGAAAAAUAUUGUGACUAGUUAGGGCAUCUCCAACCGCCUACAUCACAGGUGUCCACACAUGAGUCUGACCGGG
Molecule: long non-coding RNA, 778 nt
Filed under: Triticum aestivum (bread wheat)
Lineage: Eukaryota; Viridiplantae; Streptophyta; Magnoliopsida; Poales; Poaceae
Description: long non-coding RNA (TAES_LNC014771)
Source: RNAcentral